AUUCAAGAUGAGCGGAGUCUAUAGCGAAGAAACUAUAGCGAUCAAUAAAACCGAUUUCUCCCCAAGUCUUUUUCUAUCUCGCUACGCUACGCUCUACGCCUUAUAUUCGGAUAGCUAAUUGUAUAGUAUUUUGGUACACACGACGACUCUUAAACUGUUUUGAAAGUCUGUUUAACUGUUUCGUUUUUAUAUAGAAGGACUAUAACGGCAAUAUAUGACGUAAACCGAGUUUCUGAGUGAAUCAAGAAGGAUGAGAUACACAGCACUCACGCGCGAUGCCGUGGUGAUAGUAACUAUUUUUCUCCUGGUCAUAUGGUUUUGGAGUACUAUUAUGACGUCACCGGAUAACGUAUCUUUGAUAAGGGAAACCGAAGAACCCAGACGUAAAGUGGGGCACGUGACCAUCGAUCUCCCUCCAAACAAUAGCAGUUCGGAUGCCACUGGAUGCAGUGAUUAUAGGUUCAUGCCCCCGGGGACUUUCCCUUACAUCGCCCUGGCUAGUGUACAAGGCAGCGGGAACACGUGGGUUAGAUGGCUUCUCCAGAGUACGACUGGGUUCUCUGCAGCCAGCGUCUACAACGAACCACACACAGCAGGUUUUCGAGAAGAAAAGUGUCUACCUUGCAACGGACAGGCUUUGGUGGUCAAGAAUCAUGCUGGCAUAAAAGAACCGAUAGAUGGUGCUAUAAUCAUUCUACGGAAUCCAUACAGCGCCCUCAUUGCUGAGUUCAACCGAAGGAAAUCUGGUAAAGAUCAUGUCGGUUAUGCCCCGAUACAUCUUUUCAAUAACUCAGAUACAGUGUGGCCCCAUUUUGUGAAUGGAAUGCCCAACAAGUUUGUGAGUCUACUUAAAUUGUACAUCCAUCAAAACAAGCCUAUUCACAUUGUAUUUUAUGAAAAUCUCAAGAAAGACGUGGAGAAGGAACUCCGAAAAAUGCUUCAAUUCCUAAAGGUCGAUAUCAACGAAAAACGUUUAACCUGUACACUGUCCAACGCUGGGGGCGCUCAUCACAGGACCUCCAACUCAAGCAUGACGUUUGAUCCUUUCUCCAUGGAGCAGCGUUCAUUGAUAGAUGAUAUUAUUAGUAGGAUGGAUGUCAUCUUGAAGAAUAACAAUCUACCAGCGUUACCAGAAGAAUAUUGGAUAUAUCCCGGACCCUUUCCACGAUGAUGUUUACGAUACAUGGUACUACACUGUCGGUCAUAAUGGUAGAAUAAUUAUUUUUACCCCAAUUUAUUGAAUGAUUUUGACAAUGAUUUAUUCCUA
Molecule: long non-coding RNA, 1267 nt
Organism: Strongylocentrotus purpuratus (purple sea urchin)
Lineage: Eukaryota; Metazoa; Echinodermata; Echinoidea; Camarodonta; Strongylocentrotidae
Product: WSC domain-containing protein 1
Exons: 5
Source: RefSeq, a predicted model, not a curated record